GCAGAGCACGAAGAGCAGCGAGACGAUCAUGUGGCAAUAAUCCAUAGCAGGCGGCGGAGGGCGGAUGGAAGAAGUGAGAGGAAACAGGCCUCGUAUCAAGGAGCAGAGUCAGCGUGGAACCUGGACACUUGAGGAGUGGCUGCGGCAGUGCCAUCACAGGUUUCCAUUUCCUUGCAUAUAAGGAUUGAGCAAACCUGGGACAAAGGAUGAGGUGGUGUCACAGAUGGAUGGACAUCUGAGAAGGGUCAUCUCACGAGUUCAGCCAGAAGGAGGACAUGCUCAGCAGGAGGAGGGGCUCUUCGUCCCUCACUGCAAUUGGCAGGCCCAAAGGGUUAUGCAGUUCUAAAAGAGGAAGAAAAUAAGCCUGUAAAAAAGAAAAGAAAAUUAUAGCUGGGAGAGUUUGUUGAAGAGGAACGCACAGAAAGGAAGUUGGACAGCAGCUGCUGUCAGUGUCUGAUGCUGCAAGAGCCGAAUGCAGAGGAGGAGGACAGCAAUGCCUGAUCCGACCCAAUACAGGCAAGGCUCAGUGCUUAAAGGGGUAGUCCCAAGUCCUCCACUGAUGCAGUUGGUGCAGGUCUUGCUGAAGCUCACAGAUGUCAUUUUUCCUCAGAUGAGGAUCUAGCCUGAGGAGUUCCCAACUGCAAGGGAGAACUAAGUGAAACCACAGGGGCUUUUACCACCACCAGAUCCUUUCAAGCUGAACCAGCUGGAAGGGCACUGAAAGGAAUGAGUUAAGCACCUCUCCAACUACCGGGCUGCAUCAAGAAGGCACAACAUAAGCAAUGGUGCUUCUAAUGUGGCAGACAGGGUACGCAGUGACAAGAGAUGGCUGACAACUACAGCUCCUGCAGAGGUGGAGGUGACAGCUGGAUACUGGAGUGAGACGUGGGAUCCACAUCCUAUUGCUGCCUCAGCUCACCGUGAUUUAUUCGGUGCACACACCUGGACUUAUAAUCCUAUUUCUAUCCUCCCUUUUCUUCUCCUACAGCCUGUUACUGACCAAGGCUUGCAACUCCUUUCCUAGAACCUCCUAGAACGAGUAGUCUGAAAGUGCAAUUGCGAUCUCUCUCUCUCGUUUUAGGCAUUUUCAUCACACACGUACUGGUGCAACCUUACUUAGUUUAUACAGUCCUAACUCUCAAAAAUUCUCUAGAGCAGGCACAAAACUGAAAAACAGAAAAAAAUGUUUUGGAAAUCUGCUGGUAGAAAAUGUAUUGGCAAAGGGAGAAUAUGAUUAACUGGCUAUGCAGUGCCGACCUGUCUAAAUGAGAAGAUGGGUGUGAGAAAGAAGCCAACAUCUUUCUCAGAACUGACACCUCACAAGAAAUCCUGAUAAACUGGUAUGGGUGCUUUCGAAGGAACGUACAACAGCCUUCCUGAGCUGUGUUGACUCCUUGGCUUGAUUGCAAGAACUGGGAUCCACAGCCAUUCACAAUAGGAACGGACUGUAGAUUAACCACUGGAGACACAAGGCUGAUGCUUCUUUUGGUCUGGGAAAGGAAAAGAAAAUCUGGAAAGGAAUUACUGCCUUGUACUACUUAUGUGCCUUCUUUUUUUUGAAAAAUGUAUUAAUGUAGACAAUUAUUAAAGCUAUAUAA
This is a long non-coding RNA of Corvus hawaiiensis (hawaiian crow), 1598 nucleotides long. RefSeq lists it as uncharacterized. Lineage: Eukaryota; Metazoa; Chordata; Aves; Passeriformes; Corvidae. The record is from RefSeq and is a predicted model, not a curated record. The transcript has 8 exons.